Molecule: long non-coding RNA, 331 nt
Filed under: Phaseolus vulgaris (common bean)
Lineage: Eukaryota; Viridiplantae; Streptophyta; Magnoliopsida; Fabales; Fabaceae
Description: long non-coding RNA (PVUL_LNC003009)
Source: RNAcentral
AAAAAUUUCAUUUUCCACACUUACUCAAAAUUUUGAUUUUCCAAAAUCCUAUUCUCUCGUUCCAUUCUCAAAAAUUUUCCAACACUCUUCCAACAGCCUUCCCCCGCUAAGUUCUAGAGUCUCUUGCCCCCUGAGACCACCCUCUUCCAACACUCUGAAGCACAAGCUCGCCACCACCGCCGAUGCUCUAACCGACACCCAUAACCUAGCGUUCACUAUCGCGCCCUUCACUAUUAGCCAUAGCCGCCUCCGCGCAAGGAUUUGAAACUUUUUUCCGCAAACCCUACCUCUCUCCUCUUUCAAUCUCGUCUUUGUUUUACUUUAAUUUUGG